AUUGAACGCUGGCGGCAUGCCUUACACAUGCAAGUCGAACGGUAACAGGUCUUCGGAUGCUGACGAGUGGCGAACGGGUGAGUAAUACAUCGGAACGUGCCCGAUCGUGGGGGAUAACGAGGCGAAAGCUUUGCUAAUACCGCAUACGAUCUACGGAUGAAAGCGGGGGAUCUUCGGACCUCGCGCGGACGGAGCGGCCGAUGGCAGAUUAGGUAGUUGGUGGGUUAAAAGCUUACCAAGCCGACGAUCUGUAGCUGGUCUGAGAGGAUGAUCAGCCACACUGGGACUGAGACACGGCCCAGACUCCUACGGGAGGCAGCAGUGGGGAAUUUUGGACAAAGGGCGAAAGCCUGAUCCAGCCAUGCCGCGUGCAGGAUGAAGGCCUUCGGGUUGUAAACUGCUUUUGUACGGAACGAAAAGCCUCUUUCUAAUAAAGAGGGGUCAUGACGGUACCGUAAGAAUAAGCACCGUCUAACUACGUG
RNAcentral lists this ribosomal RNA (482 nucleotides) under uncultured bacterium. RNAcentral describes it as "partial 16S ribosomal RNA". It matches the Rfam family "Bacterial small subunit ribosomal RNA", at positions 30 to 507 of the family's 1533-position model. The record is from RNAcentral.